AACGAACGCUGGCGGCGUGCUUAACACAUGCAAGUCGAACGGGAAUGAUUCCUUCGGGAAUCUAGUACAGUGGCGAACGGGUGAGUAACACGUAGGUGAUCUGCCUCUUGCUGGGGAACAACUCCGGGAAACCGGAGCUAAUUCCGCAUAAGCCAUCCUGGUCGCGGCCAGGAUGGGAAAGGUGGCCUCUUCAUGAAAGCUAUCGGCGAGAGAUGAGCCUGCGUACCAUUAGCUAGUUGGUAGGGUAAUGGCCUACCAAGGCUACGAUGGUUAGCUGGUCUGAGAGGAUGAUCAGCCACACUGGAACUGAGACACGGUCCAGACUCCUACGGGAGGCUG
RNAcentral lists this ribosomal RNA (339 nucleotides) under uncultured bacterium. RNAcentral's name for it is "bacterial SSU rRNA". It matches the Rfam family "Bacterial small subunit ribosomal RNA", at positions 29 to 351 of the family's 1533-position model. The record is from RNAcentral.